RNAcentral lists this ribosomal RNA (464 nucleotides) under Vreelandella stevensii. RNAcentral describes it as "partial 16S ribosomal RNA". It matches the Rfam family "Bacterial small subunit ribosomal RNA", at positions 338 to 794 of the family's 1533-position model. The record is from RNAcentral. Lineage: Bacteria; Pseudomonadati; Pseudomonadota; Gammaproteobacteria; Oceanospirillales; Halomonadaceae.
CCUACGGGAGGCAGCAGUGGGGAAUAUUGGACAAUGGGCGAAAGCCCGAUCCAGCCAUGCCGCGUGUGUGAAGAAGGCCUUCGGGUUGUAAAGCACUUUCAGUGGGGAAGAAAGCCUUGGGGCUAAUACCCUCGAGGAAGGACAUCACCCACAGAAGAAGCACCGGCUAACUCCGUGCCAGCAGCCGCGGUAAUACGGAGGGUGCGAGCGUUAAUCGGAAUUACUGGGCGUAAAGCGCGCGUAGGCGGUCUGAUAAGCCGGUUGUGAAAGCCCCGGGCUCAACCUGGGAACGGCAUCCGGAACUGUCAGGCUAGAGUGCAGGAGAGGAAGGUAGAAUUCCCGGUGUAGCGGUGAAAUGCGUAGAGAUCGGGAGGAAUACCAGUGGCGAAGGCGGCCUUCUGGACUGACACUGACGCUGAGGUGCGAAAGCGUGGGUAGCAAACAGGAUUAGAUACCCGAGUAGU